UCCGGUUGAUCCUGCCGGACCCGACUGCUAUUUGGGUGAGAAUAAGCCAUGCGAGUCGAAUGGGAUACCUAAAUCUCCCAUGGCAAACUGCUCAGUAACACAUGAUCAACUUACCCUACAGAGAAAAAUAACCUCGGGAAACUGAGGAUAAUGUUUCAUAGUUGAAUAGGCUUGGAAAAGUUUUUCAAUAAAAGGGAUAAGGAAAAUGGUCCUUAUCCGCUAUAGGAUAGGAUCGUGUUCGAUUAUGGUUGUUGGUGAGGUAACGGCUCACCAAGCCGAUAAUCGAUAGGGGCCGUGAGAGCGGGAGCCCCGAGAUGGGUACUGAGACAACGACCCAGGCCUUACGAGGCGCAGCAGGCGCGGAACCUCCGCAAUACACGAAAGUGUGACGGGGUUACCCAAAGUGCUCUUUCUAGAGCUGUGGUAGGUGAGUAAUGUUCCCUACUAGAAAGGAGAGGGCAAGGCUGGUGCCAGCCGCCGCGGUAAAACCAGCUCUUCAAGUGGUCGGGAUAAUUAUUUGGCUUAAAGUGUCCGUAGCCGGUUUAGAAAGUUCCUGGUAAAAUCGGGUAGCUUAACUAUCCGUAUGCUAGGAAUACUGCUAUACUAGAGGGCGGGAGAGGUCUGAGGUACUACAGGGGUAGGGGUGAAAUCUUAUAAUCCUUGUAGGACCACCAGUGGCGAAGGCGUCAGACUGGAACGCGCCUGACGGUGAGGGACGAAAGCCAGGGGAGCGAACCGGAUUAGAUACCCCCGUAGUCC
This 759-nucleotide ribosomal RNA is filed under the name uncultured archaeon. Its description in RNAcentral is "bacterial SSU rRNA". It matches the Rfam family "Archaeal small subunit ribosomal RNA", at positions 1 to 747 of the family's 1478-position model. The record is from RNAcentral.